Molecule: transfer RNA, 87 nt
Filed under: Puccinia sorghi
Lineage: Eukaryota; Fungi; Basidiomycota; Pucciniomycetes; Pucciniales; Pucciniaceae
Description: tRNA-Ala
Rfam family: tRNA
About the family: Transfer RNA (tRNA) molecules are approximately 80 nucleotides in length. Their secondary structure includes four short double-helical elements and three loops (D, anti-codon, and T loops). Further hydrogen bonds mediate the characteristic L-shaped molecular structure. tRNAs have two regions of fundamental functional importance: the anti-codon, which is responsible for specific mRNA codon recognition, and the 3' end, to which the tRNAs corresponding amino acid is attached (by aminoacyl-tRNA synthetases). tRNAs cope with the degeneracy of the genetic code in two manners: having more than one tRNA (with a specific anti-codon) for a particular amino acid; and 'wobble' base-pairing, i.e. permitting non-standard base-pairing at the 3rd anti-codon position.
Source: RNAcentral
AUGUCUGUAGCAUAGUUGGUUAAAAGCAGCAAUAUAGCAUGUGUCUCAGGUAUAUUGAGUUUGUGAGCUCAAAUCUCUCCAGACACA